CACGGAAAACAUACAACCUACGAGCCAUACUGUUUCAGAGUCAGCUCCGGUUCUUGCCACCAACAGACGUGUACCUGUGGAGGGUGUCAGUUUCAGCAUCACCUGUACACUAGAUGCAGCUAUCAGUGGAACUACUCUCUUCUACAAGGGUCCUACUUCUAACCAGGAGGCUGCUCAUCAUCAGUCAGCUGUGGGACAUCUGUAUCAGGAUACAAUGUGAGUCUAGACAGGACAUCCAGGAUCGUGACUCUAGACAUCGCAUCAGCAGAUUCCAUCAGAGACAGCGGGACAUGGAGAUGUACUGAUGGGGCUACAGGGUCAAAUAACAUAACAUUGUCACAGUUUGCAGCUAUACUGAACUGGAGCUCUGUGACCUUCUCUCCACAACGGACUUCUCUCCCGUCCUCCGUGACAUCCCAGAACACCAUCUCCGUCACUGUGACCACUCCAUGUGCUGCCCCUGUCGCCGUCAUCACAUGGAGAUACCAACAGGGUGUGAGUGGCGUCCCUCCCAGCAGUACAUCUUCCACCCAGGGAUCAUGUCCAUCAGGUCAGGUCCAGACAACCAACACUCU
Long non-coding RNA from Haliotis rubra (blacklip abalone), 575 nucleotides. RefSeq lists it as uncharacterized. NCBI's taxonomy places the organism in Eukaryota, Metazoa, Mollusca, Gastropoda, Lepetellida, Haliotidae. The transcript is spliced from 3 exons. The record is from RefSeq and is a predicted model, not a curated record.